UGUCUGAUGACCAGAGGUAUGCCUGAUGACCAGAGGGAUGUCUGAAGACCAGAAGGCAUGUCUGAUGACCAGAAGGUAUGUCUUAUGACCAGAAGGUAUGUCUGAUGACCAGAGGUACCAGUAUGUCUGAUGACCAAAAGGUAUGUCUGAUGACCAGAGGUAUUUCUGAUGACCAGAAGGUAUGUCUGAUGCCCAGAGGUAUGUCUGAUGACCAGAAGGUAUGUCCGAUGACCAGAAGGUAUGCCUGAUGACCAGAGGUAUGUCUGAUGACCAGAGGUAUGCCUGAUGACCAAAAGGUAUGUCUGAUAACCAGAAGGUAUGCCUGAUGACCAAAAGGGAUGUCUGAUAACCAGAAGGUAUGUCUGAUGACCAGAAGGUAUGUCUGAAGACCAGAAGGUAUGUCUGAUGACCAGAGGGAUGUCUGCUGACCAGAGGUAUGUCUGAUGACCAGAAGGUAUUUCUGAUGACCAGAAGGUAUGUCUGAUGGCCAGAGGUAUGUCUGAUGACCAGAAGGUAUGUCCGAUGACCAGAAGGUAUGCCUGAUGACCAGAGGUAUGUCUGAUGACCAGAAGGUAUUUCUGAUGACCAGAAGGUAUGUCUGAUGACCAGAGGUAUGUCGGAUGACCAGAGGUAUGUCUGAUGACCAGAAGCAUUGUCUGAUGACCAGAAGGAAUGUCUGAUGACCAGAAGGUAUGUCUGAUGACCAGAAGGUAUGUCUGAUGACCAGAAGCAUUGUCUGAUGACCAGAAGCAUUGUCUGAUGACGGGCGUCUGAUGAUCAUAAGCACUUAACGUAACAGUUUCUACAACACAAAUAAAUGAAACUCUAGCCAUUUGGCUUUGGAAAUGGUAAUGAUUUUGAAAUAUCCAGAAGAUUCUGCUGGGAGGAAAUGAUAUAAUGUUCAGGCGUCAAACUCACAAAACUUUUCGAUUUAAGAAUGUCCUUAACUUCUCAAAAACAGAUUUAUUUUACAGAUCCACAAAGACAAUGGAAAAAGUAACAUGUAU
Molecule: long non-coding RNA, 1007 nt
Filed under: Mizuhopecten yessoensis (Yesso scallop)
Lineage: Eukaryota; Metazoa; Mollusca; Bivalvia; Pectinida; Pectinidae
Description: uncharacterized LOC110445143, transcript variant X1
Source: RNAcentral